This 61-nucleotide small nuclear RNA is filed under the name Spermophilus dauricus (Daurian ground squirrel). Lineage: Eukaryota; Metazoa; Chordata; Mammalia; Rodentia; Sciuridae. The record is from RNAcentral.
AGGAUUAGCAUGGCCCCUGCACAAGGAUUACACGCAAAUUCGUGAAGCAUUCCAUAUUUUU